ACGGGAGGCAGCAGUGAGGAAUAUUGGUCAAUGGAGGCAACUCUGAACCAGCCAUCUCGCGUGAAGGAAUACGGCCCUACGGGUCUUAAACUUCUUUUAUAGGGGGAUAAAGUGAGCCACGUGUGGCUUUUUGUAGGUACCCUAUGAAUAAGCAUCGGCUAACUCCGUGCCAGCAGCCGCGGUAAUACGGAGGAUGCAAGCGUUAUCCGGAUUUAUUGGGUUUAAAGGGUGCGUAGGCUGUGCGGCAAGUCAGGGGUGAAAGCCCGUCGCCUAACGACGGAACUGCCUUUGAUACUGUCGCGCUGGAAUACGGAUGCCGUGGGAGGAAUGAGUAGUGUAGCGGUGAAAUGCAUAGAUAUUACUCAGAACACCGAUUGCGAAGGCAUCUCACGAAUCCGUCAUUGACGCUGAGGCACGAAAGCGUGGGGAUCAAACAGGAUUAGAUACCCUGGUA
Molecule: ribosomal RNA, 454 nt
Filed under: uncultured Rikenella sp.
Lineage: Bacteria; Pseudomonadati; Bacteroidota; Bacteroidia; Bacteroidales; Rikenellaceae
Description: bacterial SSU rRNA
Rfam family: Bacterial small subunit ribosomal RNA
Source: RNAcentral